GUCAUGCCAUAGCUGCUAUAAAGAAAACAACUGGCUCUCCUCUUCCAUGUCACUGUGAGGGGUCUUGAAAAAUCUCAUCCAAGAAAAUCACAAGGAAAUUCAUUGGAGCAUCUAUGGCUUUGCAUUGCCCUUCAGAAGCAAGAUAAAAUGACUGCACCCAGCAGGACAGAAUAAAUACAUAGCUCUUAAAGUAUUUGGGUUUUAAUCUGAUUCAAAACAUUUGCUGUUGAUUAAAUCCUUUUGCAAAUUGAAAAUUUCAUGCUAUCCAUACCGAGAGGAAUAUAAAAACACAAAACCAAAUCAAAACAAGGAUGACUCAAGGAUUUCAUGAGCAACUUUUGUGAAGACUCAGCUGCAGCCUUCUUUAUCCAUGAAAGAACAUGAAAGCCUCAAGGGCAAUAGUUUCAGUGUUUUGGAAUGAAUUCUGAUGAAUAAAAUCUCAAGAAUGAACUGAUGGAGAUGGCUGGGACCUGGCAGCCUUAACUGCUAGAGACUGAUAUGCUAAGUGGAGGAGCCCUCUCUGGACAGCCGUGCGAGGAAGCGGGCUAGCGUCUAAACACUCGCAGCCUGAUGAUCAAGUGAGCGCCGACGACGACGCAAUUUUUUCCAAUUUGCCUCGAAAUAAAGCGAUGAAGGCGUAAACAUUAUAUAGCAAGGAGACGUGCCUUCUUAGGAAUAAUGGGCCUCGCUUGCUGGCUGCAGGGAGGGCCAGUGAAGGUCUGCUGCCGCUCCGAUCUUCAUGCUCAGUAGUAGCAGCAGGGCGGAUGGGGAAAGGGAAAACUAAGAGAAAGUGAGUGGUAACAUUUUGCAGUCAAAGCUGCCAACCUCACACUUUGGGAGAUGUCAUUUUGAAGGAACUUGCAGGAGGGUUUCUUUUUCCUUGCUUCUCCUUAGAGAAAUCGAGCUCUACUUUAGAAAACUUAGAAGCCAUAAUAAAUUCUAAAGAUGACACUAAAAAUCGCUUGUUAUGCUCUCCCCAGGGAGAACCAUGAAUAACCUUUUGGUGCAUUCCUUUCCAGGAAUUUUCUCUACGUACAUCCAUUUAUUUACGAAAUUUGGCUGCUUCACGUUGAGCAUUUGUACAACUAGAUUUUCAACUCCUAGA
Molecule: long non-coding RNA, 1105 nt
Organism: Canis lupus familiaris (dog)
Lineage: Eukaryota; Metazoa; Chordata; Mammalia; Carnivora; Canidae
Exons: 3
Source: RefSeq, a predicted model, not a curated record